GCCCACUCCACUAGCCUCUGAGAGGGACAAUCUCUGUGAUGUGGUGUACAUUCCAGAGAGCUGUGUGGGAUCAGGCUAAAUCUAGAGCUUUCCCUAAAGAAUUAUCGUACAAAACUCAGUCUCAGGCUCUGCUUCUAGUUUGUACAUAACAAAAUACCUUUUCUUGAUAAAGAAGAGAGGUUUAUUUAGUUUUGGAGGCUGAGGGUCCAACAUUGGGCAACCCCAUUAAUCCAGCCUCUGGUGAGGACCUCAUGUGGAUGGCAUCACAGUGGUGGGUGCGGUGUGAAAGGGAGAAGGCCCCGUGGAGAUGAGCGUCAGAGAAUGUGCAGGGACCAGGCUUGCUCUUGUUCAUUCCUUCCAGGUGCCCAUCCCCAAUGACCUACCACCUUCCCUUAGGCCCUGCCUCUUAAAGGUUGUGCCAUCUCCACUCUGCCACACUGGGGAUCGAGCUUUUGAUCGGUACAUGAGCUUUUGGAGGAUACAUUCAAACCAUAUAGCUUGCCUACUAUAUGAAAACACAUCAGGCAAGUCUUUGUGGCUACAAGGAGUCUUCCCAGGAAACAUGCACAUGCAAUUUGUAUACAAUUUUGCCCAAGUCACUGGAUUUAGCAGCCACAACAUCUCCUGGGCCUCCACCCAAGGGCUGGUAACCCACAUGCUGACUUCCUAAUGAACAAUCCAUUUCUCCAUAAAGAGAAGAGGAUUGGGAGAUUUCCCUCUCAGACAGAAUUUUCUUUCUUUAAUUAAGAAGAGCUGUCUACAUCUUUUCAAAGCUGCUUUCCUGGGAAAUUAGAGAAUCCAUGUGCAAUGGGUUGAAGUAUGUCCCUCCCAAAUCUGUAUGUUGAAGUCCUAACCCCUAUUAUAACUGUUUGGAGAUAGAAUUUUUAGGAGGCAGUUUUAAGUGGGAUCCUAAGGGGUAGGACCCCAAUACAAAAGGAUUGGUGGACUCAUAAGAAGAGGAGGAGGCAGAGACAUAGGAAGGCCUUUCUUCCUCUACUUUCUGCCAUGUGAGGCCACAGCCAGAAGGCAGCCAUCUGCAAGACAGCCUUCACCACCACCCCAAUUGACUGUCACCUGGAUCUUGGACUUCUCAGCCUCCAGGACUGUGAAAAAUAAGUUUCUGUUGUGUAAACCACCCAGUCUUUGGUAUUUUGCUUUGGCAGGCUGAGCAGAUUAAGAUACCACCCAAAAUACAAAAGUCGGUUUUGAAAAUUCUAGUUAGGUUUUCAGAUCAUUUUUUUUUUGAUCCUGUCAGGAUCCAGUUCCUGUAGUGCUACCACCUGGCCACUAGGAAGCCUGGGUGUUAGAACCAAGGGUGAACCUGGACCCACAUUCCUUCUCCUUUCAAACCUAGCCAUGAGGGCUGGGGAUGUGGCUCAAGUGGUAGCGCGCUCGCCUGGCAUGCGUGCGGCCCAGGUUCGAUCCUCAGCACCACAUACCAACAAAGAUGUUGUGUCCGCCGAAAAUUA
This 1469-nucleotide long non-coding RNA is filed under the name Marmota monax (woodchuck). Lineage: Eukaryota; Metazoa; Chordata; Mammalia; Rodentia; Sciuridae. The record is from RNAcentral.